Long non-coding RNA from Oreochromis aureus, 486 nucleotides. RefSeq lists it as uncharacterized. The record is from RefSeq and is a predicted model, not a curated record. NCBI's taxonomy places the organism in Eukaryota, Metazoa, Chordata, Actinopteri, Cichliformes, Cichlidae. The transcript has 3 exons.
CGUUAUGUACUGUAAGAGUAAAUGUGUAAUACUGUAACCUUUCAGCAAGAAUGCUCCCAGGGAAAGGACUAGAGUUUGAAAGUAAGGAAUAUGAGGAUGUCAUGAACAAAGAAAAUGAGGUGGAAGACCUCAGUCAUAGCAACCACACCGCUGCAGUGGAGCCCAGUGCUUCAACAGCCAUCAUCCCAGGACACACUGUAUAAUCCAGCAUGCUUUUGGAAUGAUGAAGACCAGGUUCCAGGGCAUCUUCCUGCAAACAGGUGCACUACACCUUUGUAUCUCAUGUAAGUAACAGCCUUGUUCUGAGAUGUCUCCCCUGGAAGAGGUACCACCACACCAUCACUACUAUUGACAGUGGACAAUGGAAAGAAGCAUCCCAAUCCUCUCUACAGACCACCCUGUGUGACCACCCUGUGCUUACCAACCAGACUUCAUGUUCAGGCAAAUAUCAGGUUUGCUAUUCUAUUAAAAUUUAAAGCUUUUUAU